RNAcentral lists this long non-coding RNA (365 nucleotides) under Vitis vinifera (wine grape). Its description in RNAcentral is "long non-coding RNA (VVIN_LNC006012)". Lineage: Eukaryota; Viridiplantae; Streptophyta; Magnoliopsida; Vitales; Vitaceae. The record is from RNAcentral.
UCCAAGUGCAAUGAGUAGUAGUGGUAUCAUAGCUCAAAAUGAAAGACAACGAAGUUUAGUUCUUACCAUCAUGCAGGUCCCUGCACGGACAUUGCAGACGGGAUAUUCCUGGGGGCAGCAGCUAUCAUGAUCUUCACAGCAGGUGGCAGCCUCAAGUGGGCAGCAUCCCCAUUGAAAGCAAUACUUAGCAUACUCAAAGAUGCAGCAGCAGGUGCUGCUCUCAGGACAUGCGUAGUAGUUAUCACAGACAGUUGGGGGCUUUAUUGGAGAGGGAGGAGACGGGCCAGGGUUGGGCGGGUUUUGGCCUUUUUUGAUAGGGUAAGAGGCUUCCAUAGCAAUUCCACACUUCCCUGUCGCACUAGUAG